UAUAUAGCAUCACCUACAAACCCUUUUCCUAAUCGGUUGAGGUAAUAAUUUACUUAGGGUAAAAGUUUAAUUCCAAAAUUAAACUUUGUACAAUUUUCUAUAAAACUUUGAAUCUUAUUCGGAUGGAAUUUUUCAAAAAUUAAUGUUGGAAUUAUUUUCUUGUAUUGACAAGAAAAUACUAAUAGCCAAAAUUAAUGACAAAAUAAGUAACGUGAAUUUCCAACUUUGAAAAGUGC
RNAcentral lists this long non-coding RNA (236 nucleotides) under Nicotiana benthamiana. RNAcentral's name for it is "long non-coding RNA (NBEN_LNC037480)". Lineage: Eukaryota; Viridiplantae; Streptophyta; Magnoliopsida; Solanales; Solanaceae. The record is from RNAcentral.